UUAACAUUUUCGGAACUACGUUUGCUGCGAACCAAGAUGAUUGUGAAUAUUUUUAUACCAUCGAUAAAAGUCAAUUUGAAAGAUUAUCUCUUGACGAUAUUUGCUUCAAUCCAGAAAAGUUAUUAGCUGUGAAUGAGAAAAUGUGCAUUGAUAAAAAUAACGCGUUUGUUGCAUUGAUAAAUAUGAUUGAUGCAAAUGAAAGAAAUUAUUACUUGGAGUCUGAUUUUGUGAUAAAAGAUAAUUUUGAAACUCAUUGUGAAAGAUAUUUUAGCUUUAAAGGUACAUUGAGUUCCUUUCAAUGGGGAUUAGAGAAUGAAGAGCUUGUAAUAUUAGUGCCAGGAGUAACUAUGAACAAGUCGGAUUACUGCCUUAAGUUAACGAGAGUUGAGAAUGUGCCACAUUAUGUCAUUGAACCUCAUAUAUGUGGAGUAUCGACAAAUGUGGUUAAUGUUUAUACACGGGCUAUAUCGGUUUUCUUUAUGAUGCUCAGUGUUGGUAUAUAUUUAUUCUCGUAUUUGCCACGAAAUGAUUCGGCUCACAACAAAUGCUGUAGUCGCUAUAUGAUUUGUAAAACAACCACAUUCACAUUGCGAUCCAUUGAUAUAUUUUAUUUGCAUUUAGGAAUAAUUCCAUCGGAACUUGUAUGCGUUUUAAUAUUUUUCUUCAGUUACUUUUAUGUUCUUGCCACAUAUGUAUGGCUCCUGACCAUAAACUAUAACAUAUGGAAAUUGCUUAGUACAUAUGGGACGUGGAAUGCAGGCUUUCCGAAACUCAAUAAAUUUGUCUGGUUAUUUACGAGUGGCUUAGUAAUAAUAUCAUUUGCAGUUGACGGACUGUUUUCAAUUGGUCGA
This is a long non-coding RNA of Drosophila sulfurigaster albostrigata, 851 nucleotides long. RefSeq lists it as uncharacterized. The transcript is spliced from 4 exons. NCBI's taxonomy places the organism in Eukaryota, Metazoa, Arthropoda, Insecta, Diptera, Drosophilidae. The record is from RefSeq and is a predicted model, not a curated record.